RNAcentral lists this RNase P RNA (409 nucleotides) under Paracoccaceae bacterium. Its description in RNAcentral is "Rhodobacteraceae bacterium (activated sludge metagenome) RNase P RNA component class A". It matches the Rfam family "Bacterial RNase P class A". Rfam says of the family: Ribonuclease P (RNase P) is a ubiquitous endoribonuclease, found in archaea, bacteria and eukarya as well as chloroplasts and mitochondria. Its best characterised activity is the generation of mature 5'-ends of tRNAs by cleaving the 5'-leader elements of precursor-tRNAs. Lineage: Bacteria; Pseudomonadati; Pseudomonadota; Alphaproteobacteria; Rhodobacterales; Paracoccaceae. The record is from RNAcentral.
GCGGAUGGCCGGAUGACCGCGGCGGGCGACUGUCGAGGAAAGUCCGGACUCCAUGAAGUGACGGUGCCGGGUAACGCCCGGCCGGGGCAACCCGAGGGAAAGCGCCACAGAAAAGAAACCGCCCGAUCUUCGGACAGGGCAAGGGUGAAACGGUGGGGUAAGAGCCCACCGCGGACUUGGCAACAAGGACGGCAUGGCAAGCCCCACCGGGAGCAAUGCCAAAUAGGGGCCUCGUGCGGGGCCGGUCGCGGACCCUGGUCCGGGAUACCGUCCGCAAGGCGAUUUCAGCCCGAGAGGCCCGGGUUGGCAGCUAGAGCACGUCGGCAACGGCGGGCCGAGAGGAAUGGUCAUCCAACCCCGGAUCACGGUCCGGGGCGGACAGAAUCCGGCUUACAGGCCAUCCGCGCAU